AUACGUAGGUGACAAGCGUUAUCCGGAUUUACUGGGCGUAAAGGGCGUGUAGGCGGUCUUGCAAGUCAGAAGUGAAAUUCCUGAGCUCAACUCGGGCGCUGCUUCUGAAACUGCAGGACUUGAGUGCUGGAGGGGAUAGCGGAAUUCCUAGUGGAGCGGUAAAAUGCGCAGAUAUUAGGAAGAACACCGGUGGCGAAGGCGGCUAUCUGGACAGUAACUGACGCUGAGGCGCGAAAGCGUGGGGAGCAAACAGGAUUAGAUACCCUGGUAGUCCACGCAGUAAACGAUGUUCACUCGCUGUUUGCGAUAUACUGUAAGCGGCUUAGUUAAAGCAUUAAGUGAACCACCUGGGGAGUACGAUCGCAAGGUUGAAACUCAAAUGAAUUGGCGGGG
This 393-nucleotide ribosomal RNA is filed under the name uncultured bacterium. Its description in RNAcentral is "partial 16S ribosomal RNA". It matches the Rfam family "Bacterial small subunit ribosomal RNA", at positions 523 to 918 of the family's 1533-position model. The record is from RNAcentral.